Molecule: long non-coding RNA, 246 nt
Filed under: Vigna radiata
Lineage: Eukaryota; Viridiplantae; Streptophyta; Magnoliopsida; Fabales; Fabaceae
Description: long non-coding RNA (VRAD_LNC000311)
Source: RNAcentral
UCUCAGCAAGUUUGACAUCUCAGACCAUCCCGACCAUCCCGUCCAUCACAUGCUCAAUCAAACAUCAAGACAAAAGUAACUAAUAUUUUCAUUCAAUUCAUAUAAUCAUUUCCAACCAAAAUGCAAAAAGCACUUGUUGCUGAAGAUUUCAGGUCAUAAAAAGCUUCACAUUUGCUUGAAUUUUGCAAUUAUAUUAACAUGGUCAUGGUUAGAGGGCCAAGGCCAUGUUCAUAAAUUUUGGGAUCC